This 213-nucleotide ribosomal RNA is filed under the name uncultured bacterium. Its description in RNAcentral is "partial 16S ribosomal RNA". It matches the Rfam family "Bacterial small subunit ribosomal RNA", at positions 28 to 242 of the family's 1533-position model. The record is from RNAcentral.
GACGAACGCUGGCGGCGUGCUUAACACAUGCAAGUCGAGCGGUAAGGCCCUUUCGGGGGUACACGAGCGGCGAACGGGUGAGUAACACGUGGGUGACCUGCCCUCAGCUCUGGGAUAAGCCUGGGAAACCGGGUCUAAUACUGGAUAUGACUCCAUGACGCAUGUUGUGGGGUGGAAAGCCUUGUGCGGCUGAGGAUGGGCCCGCGGCCUAUC